Molecule: ribosomal RNA, 468 nt
Filed under: uncultured bacterium
Lineage: Bacteria
Description: partial 16S ribosomal RNA
Rfam family: Bacterial small subunit ribosomal RNA
Source: RNAcentral
GACGAACGCUGGCGGCGUGCUUAACACAUGCAAGUCGAACGGAAAGGCCCUGCUUUUGUGGGGUGCUCGAGUGGCGAACGGGUGAGUAACACGUGAGUAACCUGCCCUUGACUUUGGGAUAACUUCAGGAAACUGGGGCUAAUACCGGAUAGGAGCUCCUGCUGCAUGGGGGGGGUUGGAAAGUUUCGGCGGUUGGGGAUGGACUCGCGGCUUAUCAGCUUGUUGGUGGGGUAGUGGCUUACCAAGGCUUUGACGGGUAGCCGGCCUGGGAGGGUGACCGGCCCCAUUGGGACUGCGAUACGGCCCAGACUCCUACGUGCGGCAGCAGUGUGGAAUAUUGCACAAUGGGCGGAAGCCUGAUGCAGCAACGCCGCGUGCGGGAUGACGGCCUUCGGGUUGUAAACCGCUUUCGCCUGUGACGAAGCGUGAGUGACGGUAAUGGGUAAAGAAGCACCGGCUAACUACGUG